This 497-nucleotide ribosomal RNA is filed under the name uncultured bacterium. Its description in RNAcentral is "partial 16S ribosomal RNA". It matches the Rfam family "Bacterial small subunit ribosomal RNA", at positions 28 to 507 of the family's 1533-position model. The record is from RNAcentral.
GAUGAACGCUGGCGGCGUGCCUAAUACAUGCAAGUCGAGCGAACGGACGAGAAGCUUGCUUCUCUGAUGUUAGCGGCGGACGGGUGAGUAACACGUGGAUAACCUACCUAUAAGACUGGGAUAACUUCGGGAAACCGGAGCUAAUACCGGAUAAUAUUUUGAACCGCAUGGUUCAAAAGUGAAAGGCGGUCUUGCUGUUACUUAUAGAUGGAUCCGCGCUGCAUUAGCUAGUUGGUAAGGUAACGGCUUACCAAGGCAACGAUGCAUAGCCGACCUGAGAGGGUGAUCGGCCACACUGGAACUGAGACACGGUCCAGACUCCUACGGGAGGCAGCAGUAGGGAAUCUUCCGCAAUGGGCGAAAGCCUGACGGAGCAACGCCGCGUGAGUGAUGAAGGUCUUCGGAUCGUAAAACUCUGUUAUUAGGGAAGAACAUAUGUGUAAGUAACUGUGCACAUCUUGACGGUACCUAAUCAGAAAGCCACGGCUAACUACGUG